UUGGAAAUCUAGCCCAACCACGCACAACGUCAUGCCUAAAAAAUUCACCCGAUCCUCAAACUAAAGCAUUAUCAAAACUUAGUAUAGGCGAUAGAAAAGACCAACCCACUGGCGCAAUAGAAAGCUGUACCGUAAGGGAAAGAUGAAAUAAUAAUGAAAACACAAGCAAUAAACAGCAAAGAUAAACCCUUGUACCUUUUGCAUCAUGAUUUAGCAAGAACAACCAAGCAAAACGAACUUAAGCUUGCCCCCCCGAAACCCAAGCGAGCUACUUACAGGCAGCUAUUCUGAGCGAACCCGUCUCUGUUGCAAAAGAGUGGGAUGACCUGUUAGUAGAGGUGAAAAGCCAACCGAGCUGGGUGAUAGCUGGUUGCCCGUGAAAUGAAUCUAAGUUCUACCUUAACCUUCUCCCCAUCAAUGAACUUCAACCAAUCACCCCUUAACGUGGAAAGUUAAGAGCAAUUUAAAGGAGGUACAGCCCCUUUAAAAAAGGAUACAACCUCCCCUAGCGGAUAAAUCUUCCCCAACCUGCAACCCUGUAGGCCUUAAAGCAGGCCAUCAACAAAGAAUGCGUCAAAGCUCACUACCCAAAAGAUCCAGAAACCUCAUGACUCCCUUACCCCUAACGGGCUAACCUAUACCUAUAGGAGAAUUAAUGCUAAAAUAAGUAACUUGGAGCUCCUCUCCUCUCAAGCGCAAACUUACAUUUUUCCCCAAUUAUUAACAGACCAACUAAUACUGCAAUUCUAACAAGCCCAAAUAUUAACCUUACCCUGUUACCCCAACAUUGGAGCGCCCAUUAAGAAAGAUUAAAAUCUGUAGAAGGAACUAGGCAAACCCAGGGCCCGACUGUUUACCAAAAACAUAGCCUUCAGCCGACCAAGUAUUGAAGGUGAUGCCUGCCCAGUGACAUACGUUCAACGGCCGCGGUAUCCUAACCGUGCGAAGGUAGCGCAAUCAAUUGUCCCAUAAAUCGAGACUUGUAUGAAUGGCUAAACGAGGUCCUAACUGUCUCCCACAGAUAAUCAGUGAAAUUGAUCCCCUUGUGCAAAAGCAAGAAUAACCACAUAAGACGAGAAGACCCUGUGGAACUUUAAAAUCAUCGGCCACUCCACAAACAACCCUAAACCUACUAGGACCACCACUCUCAAAUACUGGCCCACAUUUUUCGGUUGGGGCGACCUUGGAGAAAAACAAAUCCUCCAAAAACAAGACCACACCUCUUAACCUAGAGCAACACCUCCACGUGCUAACAGCAACCAGACCCAAUACAAUUGAUUAAUGAACCAAGCUACCCCAGGGAUAACAGCGCAAUCUCCUUCAAGAGCCCAUAUCGACAAGGAGGUUUACGACCUCGAUGUUGGAUCAGGACAUCCUAAUGGUGCAGCCGCUAUUAAGGGUUCGUUUGUUCAACGAUUAACAGUCCUACGUGAUCUGAGUUCAGACCGGAGCAAUCCAGGUCGGUUUCUAUCUAUGACGAACUUCCCCCAGUACGAAAGGACCGGGAAAGUGAGGCCAAUGCCACAAGUACGCCUCCCCCAUAAGUAAUGAACCCAACUAAAUUACCAAGAGGACGCCCUAACCCCCAUGCCCUAGAUAAGGGCCAA
Egretta garzetta (little egret) is the source of this 1607-nucleotide non-coding RNA. NCBI's taxonomy places the organism in Eukaryota, Metazoa, Chordata, Aves, Pelecaniformes, Ardeidae. The record is from the annotation of a RefSeq genome assembly.